CCCUUUUGGUGUCUUCCUUCCCUGUUAUGUAGUUCCAUUUUGCACUGGAUUUUGGCAGUGGCAAAGUAAUAAACUUAUCACUGGCGUGCAUUCAUUUGACCUUUUGCUUUGUGCACACAAUCAUGCAUUAAUCUUUGGUUAUGUUGCUAUUAUUCUGUUUAGAGUUUUGCAGUCAGAUGCAUCUUUUGUGAAUAGCUCUUGUAGAGUUAAUCAGUGGGCUAUGGAAAUUUUAUCCCCUCACUCUAUAAGUUGGUUGGUUUGAAGCUUAGCAUAUAUUUUCUCCCUGAAUGCUAUCUAGUAUUUACAAAUAAGAAUGCUCUCAAUAAUGUCCAUGCCUCUAAUUUUUUUUUUGAAGAUUAAAUUCAGUUAGCUAAGUUUCAUUAUAUGGAUUUCUAACAGUUUAAUCUGCAGAAUGUUUUCUGUUUGGUUAAUCUAGCUAAUUUUGCUAUUUCUCCAUUGUUUUGUUGCUUUAAAAGCCAUGUUUAAAUUGUCUUUAUAUUUGAUUAACUGUACUAUGUACAUAAUAAUAUUACCUACUUGGUGAAGUACGUCCUCUAUUGUUUGCUUCUAGUAGCUCCCAAGUUGCCAUUUUUCUGAUAGCCUUUUUUGACCAACAAAGACUGUCAAACUCAUUUUGCCAUUUUUCUGAUCCUGUUAUAUCUUUUUUAUGUUUAUGUCAUUUUCUUGGAUAUAAUUAAGUCAGUGCAUUUUGUUGUUUCCUUGCAACUCAUUUUUUGGGAUUUACUUGGUUUCUUACCAUGUAUCUUGUGGUACAAGCAAUGACUCUGUAUGAGUUUGCGUUGGUAUGCAGGGUUACUUGGCAUGUCAAAGAACCACAAGCCAUAACUGGCCGUGCAAGCAUCUCAGAUCUUGUAGGUUUAUGAAGGUGAGCGCCCUGUUGGCAAAAUAGGGCAUGCGAUCUUCAUAUGUCAAACCCUUGUUAAUGAAUUUGCAUCGUCGAAUGACUUGAUGAAUGUACAUAUCUGGAAAGUUACUCUAUUCUGCUGGUGCAGGCUGGAAUGCUGUUAUAUCCUGUCAAGUUUUGUUGUGCCUAUGUGCCCAACUCACACUGGGCCUGAAAAUCACAAUGCAUCUUGUUUUACUGUAUAUUACAGUAAAAUUUAACAUUUGAACCGAAAAACUCUGAAACCGAAGUGGGCAGUGAAAAUUUCUUUAUCAAUGUUGCGAUGCAAACACACUGUUAAACAGAAUUGCAUGGUAAUCGUAAUGUUCAUCUUCCUCUACAAAAGCGUACUUAUCUUAUCAGAACUGAAUGUCGUGUGUGGGCGCAGACCGGGGCAAAGCAUUUGAGCGCCCUUCUCCCACUGUAAUUUCCUUUUGCCCCGGCUGGUCGUUGCCACUCAUGUACCUAUCUCUAUGUAUUUGUUUCUCAUCUCUUAACAUAUGACAUGCAGUCUUUGCAUGCUUGAAAAAAGAAGAAAAUAAUUGCAUGGGAGGCCAUCGCCAAAUGGAAGGGUUGAAGCUUAUCAGUUUGUUUUGCUUGAGAUGGUUGAAGUUAUCAGGAUUGUAAUAAAGAACAAUCUGUGAAUUCCAUUGUAG
Molecule: long non-coding RNA, 1560 nt
Filed under: Triticum aestivum (bread wheat)
Lineage: Eukaryota; Viridiplantae; Streptophyta; Magnoliopsida; Poales; Poaceae
Description: long non-coding RNA (TAES_LNC012849)
Source: RNAcentral